This 500-nucleotide ribosomal RNA is filed under the name uncultured bacterium. Its description in RNAcentral is "partial 16S ribosomal RNA". It matches the Rfam family "Bacterial small subunit ribosomal RNA", at positions 30 to 523 of the family's 1533-position model. The record is from RNAcentral.
AUUGAACGCUGGCGGCAUGCUUUACACAUGCAAGUCGAACGGUAACAGGGAGCUUGCUCCGCUGACGAGUGGCGAACGGGUGAGUAAUAUAUCGGAACGUACCCACGAGUGGGGGAUAACGUAGCGAAAGUUACGCUAAUACCGAAUACGAUCUACGGAUGAAAGUGGGGGAUCGCAAGACCUCAUGCUGCUGGAACGGCCGAUAUCUGAUUAGCUAGUUGGUGAGGUAAAGGGUCACCAAGGCGACGAUCAGUAGCUGGUGUGAGAGGACGGCCAGCCACACUGGAACUGAGACACGGUCCAGACUCCUACGGGAGGCAGCAGUGGGGAAUUUUGGACAAUGGGCGCAAGCCUGAUCCAGCAAUGCCGCGUGAGUGAAGAAGGCCUUCGGGUUGUAAAGCUCUUUUGUCAGGGAAGAAACGGGAGUGGCUAAUAUCCAUUCCUAAUGACGAUACCUGAAGAAUAGGCACCGGCUAACUACGUGCCAGCAGCCGCCGUAA